UAAAAAAAUCAAGAAAAAUCUUUUAUGCCGCAUACCAAUGUCAAACUUGAAGGAAUCUUGAAGGGACGAGACGAGAUUUCAUUUCAGAUUUUUAAAAAUGUUAUGAGCCGGCAAGAAUUGGUAUUUUUGAUCACAGUGUCAGCACUGAUCUCCUGUAUCGCCACAGUUAUAGAAAAAAGCACCAGAGGCGGCGGCGGUUCAAGAUGGCCAUAAUGAUUUUGUGUCUUUCACUUUAACAGCACUCCAUCCACUCCAUCUUAAAGUAUUUACAAUUCAGGUUUCACAAAAUACACAAUACCCAUGGAUACCAAAACUAUCCUCUAAAUUCAA
Molecule: long non-coding RNA, 330 nt
Organism: Maniola jurtina (meadow brown)
Lineage: Eukaryota; Metazoa; Arthropoda; Insecta; Lepidoptera; Nymphalidae
Exons: 3
Source: RefSeq, a predicted model, not a curated record